This 575-nucleotide long non-coding RNA is filed under the name Eutrema salsugineum. RNAcentral's name for it is "long non-coding RNA (ESAL_LNC001756)". Lineage: Eukaryota; Viridiplantae; Streptophyta; Magnoliopsida; Brassicales; Brassicaceae. The record is from RNAcentral.
CUGGAUUAGAUAGAAACUAGUCAUUUGCAUUAAUAAACCUAAAGAGUGGAGAUCUGAAAGAGUUUCAUAAUAUUUGUCUCAAUUUAUUGAAGCUGCUCUCAGUGUACUGAAACCACGAGAACAUAGAUCUAUAUAGUCCACUCGGAAACUGCUAUGACCCAAUACUAGGUUUUGGAAACCGCCUGUAGGGACUAAAAUUACGCAAAAACACAAUCAACCAACACAACUCAAAUCUGAAAGAAACGCCCGUGUUUGCGAAAAGUCUGCACUUAUUACUCACUUCUCUGAGAUCCAAACACGACCUAAAUCUGAUAUCUUAACCACAUCCUUACAAAUCUGAUGCAGUUCAAAACACCAGACGUGGCCAAGAAAACACAUAUUGCACAAUUGCAAACGAGAACACCGCACCAAGGAAGCCACCACACCGACACCAAAGAACGAGAAGAACAAAGCUUCCAGAGGCACAAAUCCCUUGAUGAAAUCUAUUUUUUUUCUUCUAAAAGACCAGCCAGAUCGCAUGUAGCCCAAAAAAAAAAGACACCAACAAAACAUCCUCUCGUGGUGCCAACAACAAC